This 646-nucleotide long non-coding RNA is filed under the name Linum usitatissimum (flax). Its description in RNAcentral is "long non-coding RNA (LUSI_LNC004828)". The record is from RNAcentral. Lineage: Eukaryota; Viridiplantae; Streptophyta; Magnoliopsida; Malpighiales; Linaceae.
AGAACGGGAGUCCGUUCUUCCUGGCCUUGUGAACCAUAAGAAUUGCCGAUGGCCGUUCGGAAAGCUCUAGAAGGUGGAGAGCGUAGACGCACACGCCUUGACGCUUCUCCGUUCCUCGAGAUGCUUCGAUGAGGUUGAUCAAUCCAGGUAUGUUUCUUGAAGAAUGGAAGCAUGCCAAAAGUCUGAAUUGAUCGGUUGGAUCUUUCCUCUCGAUCGUUCUGUGCUUGUACUCUGUUUUCGAAGCUCGCUUCGCCGGCUUGUAGACCGCCGUUACGAGCGGAGUUGUGAUGAAGGUUGUGAAUAUCGCCAUCAGGACUAGGAUUGAGAAUGUUUGCUCGUUCAGAACCUGUUGAAUUAGGGAUUCACAGAUUAGAUUGAAGAUUGACAGAAAUUAGGGCCAAAAUUGAUUGAAGACUUAUGCAUAUACCUUUCUGUCUCUGCCAAUGUUGAGAACAAUUAGCUCAACCAAUCCUUUGGUGUUCAUCAGGAAUCCAAUGGCUAAUGCUUCCUGGAAUGGCAUUUUGCAGAGGAGGGAAACGACGACUGUGCCAAAGAUCUUGCCAAAACAAGCUGUGGUUAUGACCAGAACUAAGAGCCCCCAUGAUUGUGCACCUUGGAUAGUGGCAACGUUGGUCUUCAAUCCGCU